AGAGAGAGACAUGCGCGCAUAUCAAUAAGCGGAGGAAAAGAAACUAACAAGGAUUCCCCUAGUAACGGCGAGUGAAGCGGGAAGAGCUCAAAUUUGAAAUCUUAAAGGGUUUCCCUUUACGAAUUGUAGUUUAAAGAAGUGUUUUCUGUUGAGGUUUUGGUAAAAGUUCUUUGGAAUAGGACAAUCAUAGAGGGUGAGAAUCCCGUAUUUGACCUUUACUUUCAACUUUGUGAUACACUUUCAAAGAGUCGGAUUGUUUGGGAAUGCAGUCCAAAAUGGGUGGUAAAUUUCAUCUAAAGCUAAAUAUUGGCGAGAGACCGAUAGCGAACAAGUACCGUGAGGGAAAGAUGAAAAGAACUUUGAAAAGAGAGUUAAACAGUACGUGAAAUUGUCAAAAGGGAAGCGUUUGACACCAGUGUUGUUUUUCUGAAAAUCAAUUAAAGAACUGUUUAUGCUAAGUUGUUUAGACUUUAUCAGCUAACUGUUUAGUUUUGAGCUUUUCUUUAAUGCACUUUUCAGUUAACAAGUCAACAUCAAUUUCUUUUGCUGUAAAAAAGCUUGAGGAAGGUGGCUUGAGAUUCGUCUUAAGUGUUUAUAGCCUCUUGCCUAUGCAGUCGGAGAGAUUGAGGUCUGCAGCGUAGAUCCUUCGGGGCUAAAUGCAUUUGUGCUAAGUUAUAGCAUUUUAUAGACAACUUGUUGACUAUGAUUUGUCUUGUAGCUUACUCGCUUAUGUUAUUUUACCUACGCUUAGGAUGUUGAAGACUCUACAGAGAUA
RNAcentral lists this ribosomal RNA (775 nucleotides) under uncultured Neocallimastigales. RNAcentral describes it as "partial large subunit ribosomal RNA". It matches the Rfam family "Eukaryotic large subunit ribosomal RNA", at positions 23 to 633 of the family's 3401-position model. The record is from RNAcentral. Lineage: Eukaryota; Fungi; Neocallimastigomycota; Neocallimastigomycetes; Neocallimastigales.